AACCAAACCUUUCCGCCGAACACUGUUCAUCUCUUCCAACUACAGACCAUGUCGAAAUCUCCUCAAAGAAGCCACAUUGGCUCAAACAGCCACUGCGAACAACAAGCCCUUUCUAGCUCCACCUUCUCCGGUACGAAGCCCUGGCCCACUCUUGUUUGUUCCUGAUCGAGAACCAUCUCCUACUCUCACUCAGUCACUCUUCCAGCUGAUUUCAAAAUCCCAGACAAAAUCCUAGUACCUCCUAGAGUAGAACCAGACAAACAGACGACUCUGACCCUUUCUAAACUAGCUGAAACCCCAAAGACAAACCAAUCUCGAAUACUACAACGAGCACCUGAACCUCUUUGGAGAAAUUCCAGUAACCCCAUCAACCAUCGAGGAGUACCUCAAUACGCGUUCAGGUAAUGACCCCUAGCGUUGCGAGAUGCUUCUCGAACAUGUUACCAGGAGAAACAAGCAAAGACUUUGCAAAUGAAGGGAAACAGAAGAAAGAGAGCUCUGUUUACUACGAGAAUUGUGCUCUGUUUACCAUAUGCAUUUGUAAUUUGCAAAAAAAAAAGAUGAAAUAAUUCAUA
Long non-coding RNA from Brassica oleracea var. oleracea, 575 nucleotides. RefSeq lists it as uncharacterized. The record is from RefSeq and is a predicted model, not a curated record. The transcript has 4 exons. Lineage: Eukaryota; Viridiplantae; Streptophyta; Magnoliopsida; Brassicales; Brassicaceae.